This 266-nucleotide ribosomal RNA is filed under the name Salmonella enterica subsp. enterica serovar Senftenberg. Its description in RNAcentral is "partial 23S ribosomal RNA". It matches the Rfam family "Bacterial large subunit ribosomal RNA", at positions 1132 to 1397 of the family's 2925-position model. Lineage: Bacteria; Pseudomonadati; Pseudomonadota; Gammaproteobacteria; Enterobacterales; Enterobacteriaceae. RNAcentral also lists the same sequence under 6 other names. The record is from RNAcentral.
GCGUAAUAGCUCACUGGUCGAGUCGGCCUGCGCGGAAGAUGUAACGGGGCUAAACCAUGCACCGAAGCUGCGGCAGCGACACUGUGUGUUGUUGGGUAGGGGAGCGUUCUGUAAGCCUGUGAAGGUGUGUCGUGAGGCAUGCUGGAGGUAUCAGAAGUGCGAAUGCUGACAUAAGUAACGAUAAAGCGGGUGAAAAGCCCGCUCGCCGGAAGACCAAGGGUUCCUGUCCAACGUUAAUCGGGGCAGGGUGAGUCGACCCCUAAGGC